Non-coding RNA from Ictidomys tridecemlineatus (thirteen-lined ground squirrel), 756 nucleotides. The record is from RefSeq and is a predicted model, not a curated record. NCBI's taxonomy places the organism in Eukaryota, Metazoa, Chordata, Mammalia, Rodentia, Sciuridae.
CUGGGAGGGAAAAUCUGCUCCAGGCACUUCUCGGCUUCAGGCGGCUGCCACCAGUCCUUGGUGUCCCUUGACACAUGGCUAUAUCACCCUGAUCUCUGCCAUCACAGUCAUACGGCUGAGCUGAGCAGCCUUCCUUCACCAUGGUCUUCCUCCAUGGUGCUCUGCCUCACCUCAAGCCCAAAGCAAUGGUGUCAGCCGACCAUGGGAUGAAACCUCUGACAACUGUGAGCCAGAAUAAAUCAUUCGUCUUUUAAGUUGUUAACGUCACGUGUUUUAGUCACAGCAAUGGAAGGCUAUCAUAGUUUGUGUCAACAGUAUGAUGGAUGGUGGAGUCUUGGCUGUGGCGUAUCAAUUUGACCCCUGGCAGGUCUAAAGACUAAAUAACGGUCAGCCACAUGGGCACUCCAUGUCUACAUGACUGAGCACCCAAGAUUCCCGGACACCAAGACUGAGGGGAACUUUGUUUUAACUUUGUUAAACCUUUUAUGUGUUGUCAGAGAGUGUGGGAGGCCGUCCUCACACUGAUUUGAGUUCCCUCCCUGGCUGGGUGACAGUGCUUAGACACAGCUGUGUCAGAACCUUCCCCACCCUUUCCCAGGCCAGAGGGUUUGUCUGCAGAGGCGUGCCUGGCCACUGCCCCGAAGACCCAAUCGUCGCCUCUGACCUUGGGAUGCUGCCCCCCCCUUUAACUUUCAUUGGAUGGGACUUUCUUUGGAAUUUUUUGUUCCCCAAUAAAAGCUCACUCCCUGGUGUGUU